CGGGGUAUAUCUCAGUGGUAGAGUAUUCGACUGCAGAUCGAGAGGUCCCCGGUUAGAACCUGGGUGCCCCCU
This is a non-coding RNA of Trichonephila inaurata madagascariensis, 72 nucleotides long. The record is from the annotation of a GenBank genome assembly. NCBI's taxonomy places the organism in Eukaryota, Metazoa, Arthropoda, Arachnida, Araneae, Nephilidae.